This 480-nucleotide ribosomal RNA is filed under the name uncultured bacterium. RNAcentral's name for it is "bacterial SSU rRNA". It matches the Rfam family "Bacterial small subunit ribosomal RNA", at positions 36 to 507 of the family's 1533-position model. The record is from RNAcentral.
CUGGCGGCAUGCUUUACACAUGCAAGUCGAACGGCAGCACAGGGAGCUUGCUCCCGGGUGGCGAGUGGCGCACGGGUGAGUAAUACAUCGGAACGUGUCCUGUUGUGGGGGGAUAACUGCUCGAAAGGGUGGCUAAUACCGCAUGAGACCUGAGGGUGAAAGCGGGGGAUCGCAAGACCUCGCGCAAUUGGAGCGGCCGAUGCCCGAUUAGCUAGUUGGUGAGGUAAAGGCUCACCAAGGCGACGAUCGGUAGCUGGUCUGAGAGGACGACCAGCCACACUGGGACUGAGACACGGCCCAGACUCCUACGGGAGGCAGCAGUGGGAAUUUUGGACAAUGGGGGCAACCCUGAUCCAGCCAUGCCGCGUGCAGGAUGAAGGCCUUCGGGUUGUAAACUGCUUUUGUCAGGGACGAAAAGGACCGUGUUAAUACCAUGGUCUGCUGACGGUACCUGAAGAAUAAGCACCGGCUAACUACGUG